Molecule: long non-coding RNA, 301 nt
Organism: Dicentrarchus labrax (European seabass)
Lineage: Eukaryota; Metazoa; Chordata; Actinopteri; Moronidae
Exons: 2
Source: RefSeq, a predicted model, not a curated record
GGGGAAACGUUAUAGGCUCCAUGGUAAAGGGGGUCAGGACAGCACCUCUCCCAAAGUGGGAGCCAAGAUGUGAAUUUUCCAAUACAGUUGAAAAAAGGCCCCAUUCAUAUGUUUAGAUAUUACCGGUUCAUGAAUGUCUCGCGGAAAGGAAAGAAGAGACUAUUGUGCAGAAUGGCUUUAAGACCAAGGAUGGAUGACGGGGGAUGGAUCUGAUUGAGCAUGUGGUGUGUAAAGUCUCUGUUCUAAACAUGUAAUGACAAAUAUGUUCAAUGCUAAUAAAAUUUCAUUUACAAGAGCCACA